Molecule: ribosomal RNA, 300 nt
Filed under: uncultured bacterium
Lineage: Bacteria
Description: bacterial SSU rRNA
Rfam family: Bacterial small subunit ribosomal RNA
Source: RNAcentral
GACGAACGCUGGCGGCGUGCCUAACACAUGCAAGUCGAACGGGGUACCUUCGGGUACUUAGUGGCGAACGGGUGGGUAACGCGUGAGGAACCUACCCUCCAGUGGGGACGAACAGUUGGAACGACUGCUAAUACCGCAUAACACAACGAGACCGCGUGAUCUUGUUGCCAAAGACUUUAUGUGCUGGAAGAUGGCCUCGCGUCUGAUUAGCUAGUUGGUGGGGUAACGGCCUACCAAGGCGACGAUCAGUAGCCGGACUGAGAGGUUGAACGGCCACAUUGGGACUGAGAUACGGCCCAG